Long non-coding RNA from Ostrea edulis (European flat oyster), 342 nucleotides. RefSeq lists it as uncharacterized. The transcript has 3 exons. The record is from RefSeq and is a predicted model, not a curated record. NCBI's taxonomy places the organism in Eukaryota, Metazoa, Mollusca, Bivalvia, Ostreida, Ostreidae.
AUCGUCUAGAAUCAAAAUGGGAAAACUACUACUUGUUCUGACUCUUCUCGUCUGUCUGGUUGCGCUGUCAUCCGGUCUUCCCAGUGGUGGGUGCCAUUAUGGACUUAAAACAUGUCAUCACUGGAAACAUUGUUGCGAUGGAUAUAAGUGUGAUUACAAAUACCGCCAUUGGGGUUGCUGUGUAAUGAUGAAUGGUGAUGUUUAUAAAGGUGGUUAAAACUGAGACGAUGGCGCCAGAUGAUCGCGAAAUGACAAUGCAACAUACAUCUUUCCUUGAUUUAACGUUGAAUUUGUGAUUUGAGUCAUUAUCCUGCAUAAAAAUAAAUUCUUGUAUGCAACCUC